Molecule: ribosomal RNA, 447 nt
Filed under: bacterium enrichment culture clone ALO1_GLFRUDD03FW5EU
Lineage: Bacteria
Description: bacterial SSU rRNA
Rfam family: Bacterial small subunit ribosomal RNA
Source: RNAcentral
GAGUUUGAUCAUGGCUCAGAUUGAACGCUGGCGGCAUGCCUUACACAUGCAAGUCGAACGGCAGCACGGGAGCUUGCUCCUGGUGGCGAGUGGCGAACGGGUGAGUAAUGCAUCGGAACGUAUCCUGGAGUGGGGGAUAACGUAGCGAAAGUUACGCUAAUACCGCAUAUUCUGUGAGCAGGAAAGCGGGGGACCUUCGGGGCCUCGCGCUCUUGGAGCGGCCGAUGUCGGAUUAGCUAGUUGGUGAGGUAAAGGCUCACCAAGGCGACGAUCCGUAGCAGGUCUGAGAGGAUGAUCUGCCACACUGGAACUGAGACACGGUCCAGACUCCUACGGGAGGCAGCAGUGGGGAAUUUUUGGACAAUGGGGGGCAACCCUGAUCCAGCCAUGCCGCGUGAGUGAAGAAGGCCUUCGGUCGUGUAAAGCUCUUUCGUCGAGGGAAGGAAA